Molecule: long non-coding RNA, 206 nt
Organism: Nematolebias whitei (Rio pearlfish)
Lineage: Eukaryota; Metazoa; Chordata; Actinopteri; Cyprinodontiformes; Rivulidae
Exons: 3
Source: RefSeq, a predicted model, not a curated record
CUAGGACAGGAAGUCCUGUUUGUGAGGGCAGGAUCCAGACCAGUCAAAAACCUCACUCAUCUCAUCACGUUAAGGUUCAGGCAUAAAGAAAUUAAAACAAAUUCAAAGGCAUUGAGUGUAACUUGUGUGUUUUGGAAUGACUCGGUGCCUCUGAAUGAACCAGGUCGCUGGAGCACGUAUGGCUGUAGUACAAGGAGAAAUGGAGA